AGCUUAGAGAGCUUGCUUUUUAAGCUUAGUGGCGAACGGGUGAGUAACGCGUGAGUAACCUGCCCUAGAGUGGGGGACAACAGUUGGAAACGACUGCUAAUACCGCAUAAGCCCACGGCUCGGCAUCGAGCAGAGGGAAAAGGAGCAAUCCGCUUUGAGAUGGCCUCGCGUCCAAUUAGCUAGUUGGUGAGGUAACGGCCCACCAAGGCGACGAUCAGUAGCCGGCCUGAGAGGGUGAACGGCCACAUUGGGACUGAGACACGGUCCAAACUCC
RNAcentral lists this ribosomal RNA (274 nucleotides) under uncultured Oscillospiraceae bacterium. RNAcentral's name for it is "partial 16S ribosomal RNA". It matches the Rfam family "Bacterial small subunit ribosomal RNA", at positions 68 to 339 of the family's 1533-position model. Lineage: Bacteria; Bacillati; Bacillota; Clostridia; Eubacteriales; Oscillospiraceae. The record is from RNAcentral.